GACGAACGCUGGCGGCGUGCUUAACACAUGCAAGUCGAACGAAAAGAGGGAAAGAGCUUGCUCUUUCCGGAAUUGAGUGGCAAACGGGUGAGUAACACGUAAACAACCUGCCUUCAGGAUGGGGACAACAGACGGAAACGACUGCUAAUACCGAAUAAGUUCCAAGGGCCGCAUGGCCCAUGGAAGAAAGGGUGGCCUCUACCUGUAAGCUAUCGCCUGAAGGGGGGUUUGCGUCUGAUUAGCUGGUUGGAGGGGUAACGGCCCACCAAGGCGACGAUCAGUAGCCGGUCUGAGAGGAUGAACGGCCACACUGGAACUGAGACACGGUCCAGACUCCUACGGGAGGCAGCAGUGGGGAAUCUUCCGCAAUGGGCGAAAGCCUGACGGAGCAACGCCGCGUGAGUGAUGACGGCCUUCGGGUUGUAAAACUCUGUGAUCCGGGACGAAAAGGCAGAGUGCGAAGAACAAACUGCAUUGACGGUACCGGAAAAGCAAGCCACGGCUAACUACGUG
Molecule: ribosomal RNA, 513 nt
Filed under: uncultured bacterium
Lineage: Bacteria
Description: partial 16S ribosomal RNA
Rfam family: Bacterial small subunit ribosomal RNA
Source: RNAcentral